CGAACCGACACUGUCAUUCAUAGUUAAUUAAAGAAAAGAAGCAGCAUUGCGGACCGGCCAUGAUGCUGAAAAUUUAUUAAUUGAUUCCAUGGGAGACGAAAUCCAAGUGGAUUGAUACACCUAACUGGUGCCACCAAAAGAGGGGAACUUCCAUGGAUGGAGAGUGUGUGAGGUACCAACAACAAAUCUCCCGCCAGCCAUUUAUGACCAACAAGGUAAGUGCAUUUCCUCUUCCGAUUCUGGUUUGUGUGGCGUACUUGAGAAAUGUAAGCGAAAUAGAAAAAGAGCUGUAAUAAAGGGCAAAGCUCACACGAGCAGCACCGUGUACCGCUGAGUAUUCUGCUCAGCUUUUCGAGCGGAAAGCUGUCAAGCUCCAUAUAAAAAAACAUCGACCAAGUGUAAACUGAAAACUGGCCGAAAAGUAGUACUCGGUUUAUGGUGCGGAAAGUGGCGAAAAAAAAGCUAAAGCAGCAACACUUGAAAACUUUGCCGGCAUCAUUCUUCUAUGCCUCAUCGGUCUUAAUGACUCGUUUGCA
This is a long non-coding RNA of Stomoxys calcitrans (stable fly), 536 nucleotides long. RefSeq lists it as uncharacterized. The record is from RefSeq and is a predicted model, not a curated record. The transcript has 3 exons. NCBI's taxonomy places the organism in Eukaryota, Metazoa, Arthropoda, Insecta, Diptera, Muscidae.